Molecule: transfer RNA, 88 nt
Filed under: Microbispora amethystogenes
Lineage: Bacteria; Bacillati; Actinomycetota; Actinomycetes; Streptosporangiales; Streptosporangiaceae
Description: tRNA-Arg
Source: RNAcentral
CGGACACCUCGUUCCACGGCGGACGGGAUGUCUCGUUCGAGGGGACGCAGUUCCGGGGGUUCGCGGCGUUCGACGCGGCGGUGUUCGC